AUGUACCACGCGUCCACUCCGGUUCCUCCGCCCCGUCCACACCCACCUGACGACUGCUCGCGACGUAUUGGUAGCC
This 76-nucleotide small RNA is filed under the name Xanthomonas dyei. RNAcentral describes it as "sX9 sRNA". It matches the Rfam family "Xanthomonas sRNA sX9". The record is from RNAcentral. Lineage: Bacteria; Pseudomonadati; Pseudomonadota; Gammaproteobacteria; Lysobacterales; Lysobacteraceae.